GCCAGGUGCCGUGGCACAUGCCUGUAGUCUCAGCUACUCGGGAGGCUGAGGUGGGAGGAUCGCUUGAACCUAGGAGUUCUGGGCUGUAGUGUGCUAUGCCCACUAUGCUAAGUUCAGCAUCAAUCUGGUGACCUCUUGGGAGCAGGGGACCACCAGGUUGCCUAAGGAGGGGUGAACUGACCCUGGUCGGAAACAGAGCAGGUCAAAACUCCCAUGUUGAUCAGUAGUGGGAUUGUGCCUGUGAAUAGCCACUGAACUCCAGCCUGUGCAACAUAGUGAGACCCUGUCUCU
RNAcentral lists this signal recognition particle RNA (291 nucleotides) under Saimiri boliviensis boliviensis (Bolivian squirrel monkey). RNAcentral's name for it is "Metazoan signal recognition particle RNA (ENSSBOG00000003908.1)". It matches the Rfam family "Metazoan signal recognition particle RNA". Rfam says of the family: The signal recognition particle (SRP) is a universally conserved ribonucleoprotein. It is involved in the co-translational targeting of proteins to membranes. The record is from RNAcentral. Lineage: Eukaryota; Metazoa; Chordata; Mammalia; Primates; Cebidae.